Oryza sativa Indica Group (long-grained rice) is the source of this 205-nucleotide microRNA precursor. It matches the Rfam family "MIR812 microRNA precursor family". NCBI's taxonomy places the organism in Eukaryota, Viridiplantae, Streptophyta, Magnoliopsida, Poales, Poaceae. The record is from Rfam.
AAAAAGACAAACCCUGGUUUCCGUGUCCAACGUUUGACCGUUCGUCUUAUUUGAAAAAAAAUAUGAAAAAAUUAAAAAGAUAAGUCACGCACAAAGUAUUAAUCAUGUUUUAUCAUCUAACAACAAUGAAAAUACUAAUUAUAAAAAAAUUUUAUAUAAGAUGGACAGUCAAACGUUGGUACGGGAACCCACGGUUUGCCUUUUU